RNAcentral lists this ribosomal RNA (115 nucleotides) under Pogona vitticeps (central bearded dragon). Lineage: Eukaryota; Metazoa; Chordata; Lepidosauria; Squamata; Agamidae. The record is from RNAcentral.
GCCAACGUACUACCCCAAACCCAUCCAAUUUCAUCUUAUUUUGGAAGUUAAUCAGGGAUGGUCCUGGUUAGUAAAUACUGGGAGACCACCAGGGAAUAUCAGGAGGCUCUUGGUA